GAGUUUGAUCCUGGCUCAGAUUGAACGCUGGCGGCAUGCCUUACACAUGCAAGUCGAGCGGCAGCGCGGGGGCAACCCUGGCGGCGAGCGGCGAACGGGUGAGUAAUGCAUCGGAACGUGUCCUCUUGUGGGGGAUAACCAGUCGAAAGACUGGCUAAUACCGCAUGAGAUCGAGAGAUGAAAGCAGGGGACCGCAAGGCCUUGCGCGAGAGGAGCGGCCGAUGCCGGAUUAGCUAGUUGGUGGGGUAACGGCCUACCAAGGCGACGAUCCGUAGCUGGUCUGAGAGGACGACCAGCCACACUGGGACUGAGACACGGCCCAGACUCCUACGGGAGGCAGCAGUGGGGAAUUUUGGACAAUGGGGGCAACCCUGAUCCAGCCAUGCCGCGUGUGUGAAGAAGGCC
Molecule: ribosomal RNA, 405 nt
Filed under: uncultured beta proteobacterium
Lineage: Bacteria; Pseudomonadati; Pseudomonadota; Betaproteobacteria
Description: bacterial SSU rRNA
Rfam family: Bacterial small subunit ribosomal RNA
Source: RNAcentral